GGAUGUGAGGGCGAUCUGGCUGCGACAUCUGUCACCCCAUUGAUCGCCAGGGUUGAUUCGGCUGAUCUGGCUGGCUAGGCGGGUGUCCCCUUCCUCCCUCACCGCUCCAUGUGCGUCCCUCCCGAAGCUGCGCGCUCGGUCGAAGAGGACGACCUUCCCCGAUAGAGGAGGACCGUUCUUCGGUCAAGGGUAUACGAGUAGCUGCGCUCCCCUGCUAGAACCUCCAAACAAGCUCUCAAGGUCCACAUUAACCACAUGGGAAGGGGAAUCCAUAGGACUCUU
Molecule: small nuclear RNA, 282 nt
Filed under: Ursus maritimus (polar bear)
Lineage: Eukaryota; Metazoa; Chordata; Mammalia; Carnivora; Ursidae
Description: 7SK RNA (ENSUMAG00000010338.1)
Rfam family: 7SK RNA
About the family: 7SK was discovered as an abundant small nuclear RNA in the mid-70s but a possible function has only recently been suggested. Two independent studies have found that 7SK RNA binds the CDK9/cyclin T complex (known as elongation factor P-TEFb). P-TEFb activates transcription by phosphorylating the C-terminal domain of RNA polymerase II.
Source: RNAcentral